Molecule: long non-coding RNA, 903 nt
Organism: Hemicordylus capensis (graceful crag lizard)
Lineage: Eukaryota; Metazoa; Chordata; Lepidosauria; Squamata; Cordylidae
Exons: 2
Source: RefSeq, a predicted model, not a curated record
UCACCACAUUAAAAAGGUGCCUCUUUGCCUAGUUAAGCAAGGGUACAAGAAGCUAGUAGAGCAGAAUGAAGAACAGAGAGAAUUAAUAUCAGCCAGGAAUCUUUCUUGUACUUUGUUUUCACUCUAGAGCAGGGAAGGAUGACCUAGUAACUGGAUGAAACACAGCCACGGCCUGUAGUCCUCCUCCUCUUGGGGGUUCCCUGGGACUGGGGACCCUCAGUCCUAAAUCUUCCUCUUCUAUUGACCAAAUACACCUGACCCGCAAGAGUCUGGCUUUGUGAGUAAGGGAAAGCUCCAAAGCGGAACGAGAAGAGUCCAAACUUGUGCAAUCAUCAGAAUCCGAAAACCUUCACCGAUACGCAGAAAAACUUAGGACUUUGGUGUGGAACGCUGGAGCGAGAGGAGGGCGUAUUUGUGAAACUUCGGCACUGUUAGGGAAACUGUUGUUCAAUCAACCACCCCUCCAGUCUGAAUUAGAAGCGGAGAGUUGAAACCGGAGACUCACCUUGCCUUUCAGAUCAAGGAUAAAAACUGCUGAGGCGGACAUGCUGCUGCUGCUGCACCUACUUCCGCCUCUUCACCGGUUCUCUGCAACCAACUGGCCCAGGGAGCCGUCGAGGUGGCAGCCUGCCGGCACUGACACAGAUGUGGGCGUCAAGAGCACCAAUGCUGGCGGAGCUGCUCCCAGUCCAGAAGAGGUUGGCAGAAGUGAUGGCACUGCAAGAACAGCCAGUGCCCCAGAUUUUGUUUGUUUAUCAUAUUGUUAAAUUUCUACUCCGCCUUUCAUUAAAAAAAUCCCAAGGCGGCUCACAAUAAAAUUUAAAAACAAGAGUAUAAAAAAGACACAUUAAAACAUUGAGCUAAAAAAAUAUAAAAACAGAUUUUGAAGCUCCAAGUACCAUA